GAUGAACGCUGACAGAAUGCUUAACACAUGCAAGUCGAUGGGGAAGUGGUGCUUGCACCAUGGCAACCAUGGCGGACGGGUGAGUAACGCGUAAGGGACUUACCUGCAGGACUGGGAUAACAGGGGGAAACUCCUGACAAGACCGGAUAAUGUCAUGGAGCUGCAUGGCUUUAUGAUGAAAGGAGACGCCUGCGGAGAGCCUUGCGUCCUAUUAGCUAGUUGGUGAGGUAAUGGCUCACCACGGCGAAGAUAGGUAGCCGGCCUGAGAGGGUGGACGGCCACGAGGGGACUGAGAGGCGGCAGUUACGACUACGGGAGGCAGCAGGGGGGAAUAUUGGACAAUGGGGGCAACGCUGAUGCAGCAAUUCUGUGUGCACGAAGAAGGUUUUCGGAUUGUAAAGUGCUUUCAGCAGGGAAGAAGUAAGUGACGGUACCUGCAGAAGAAGCGACGGCUAAAUACGUG
Molecule: ribosomal RNA, 463 nt
Filed under: uncultured bacterium
Lineage: Bacteria
Description: partial 16S ribosomal RNA
Rfam family: Bacterial small subunit ribosomal RNA
Source: RNAcentral